This 68-nucleotide transfer RNA is filed under the name Podarcis lilfordi (Lilford's wall lizard). RNAcentral describes it as "tRNA.Ala". The stretch from base 3 to 61 matches the Rfam family "tRNA", at positions 7 to 64 of the family's 71-position model. From Rfam's summary of the family: Transfer RNA (tRNA) molecules are approximately 80 nucleotides in length. Their secondary structure includes four short double-helical elements and three loops (D, anti-codon, and T loops). The record is from RNAcentral. Lineage: Eukaryota; Metazoa; Chordata; Lepidosauria; Squamata; Lacertidae.
UGAUAACUCAGUGGCAGAGCAUCUGCUUUGCAUACAGAAGGUCCCAAGUUCAAUCCCUGGUAUCUCAG